Long non-coding RNA from Brassica napus (rape), 3909 nucleotides. RefSeq lists it as uncharacterized. The record is from RefSeq and is a predicted model, not a curated record. NCBI's taxonomy places the organism in Eukaryota, Viridiplantae, Streptophyta, Magnoliopsida, Brassicales, Brassicaceae. The transcript has 3 exons.
GUCUGUGUUUUCAUGAAUCAGUUUCUCUUACUCUACCUCUACGUCUCCCAUCUUUACUCCGUAAAUCAAUAAUGGAGCACGUUCGUAACACCUCCUGCAUUCCGCUUUGUAUCUAAACAGAGGAACCCUUUUUCUCUGAUUCUCUCAUCGAUUCUUCUUCCAGUCGAAUUUAGUACAUCUUGUCUGAAAAGACUUCAUAUGCUGCUCCAGUUGCUAAAGCCGUGGAUCCUUGAUGAAAAGGAAUGUAGCUUCAGCUUCCAUGUUUUCAGAAACCAAGAUAGGUUCUUCUCAGAAGCCCUAGCCCCCAACUAUUUAUUCGGUAACUACCGCUCUUCGAACCAACCCUAUGGGUUUCAGCGGCUUGAACAUCCAGCAAGAAGAAGAGGAAAGGUGAGUUAUUGUGUCCUCAUGGUUCUCUUUCGCCGAAUCGUAGUCUAAACUGUAUCCGUGUUGAGUUUCCGUAGUUUGUAGUCGACGGUGUGUUAUAUGAGGUGCUGACUAGGGAGCUAGCAGAGGAUGGUUGGUUACUCAGGUGUGGAGGUUAGGGUUACUCCGAUGAGGACAUGGAUUAUCAUCAGAGCCACAUGUACUGAGAAUGUUCUCGGUAAUGUUCAAUCUCGAAAUGUACAAAGCUAGGGACUUUAUGUGUAAAGAUGCUCUCAUAAGGAUAACUGACGAUUACGCUUUCUCUGCGCAUGCUUCUUUAGCCAUGUUUUCAGCUUCCCUAGCUCUUGUCUGAGAACGCCUCAGGGCUUCUAGCAGCUCUGAUUUGCUCAAGUCGGACUCAGAGGAAGCCUCCUCGGUUCUCUUCUUGCAGCUGCUUGGCCAGUGCUCGUGUGGACUACUACCAUGAUAAUAAGAGCGUUUCAUCUUCUGUGGUGUCGGUAGAUCAUAAUUCUCAACAAAGUGUAGACACCUUUGUGCAACCAAGGAAGCUAACUCAUCUUUGUCUGUAGUUCGCCACCAGGGUCCAGCUUUCUCGCUCGAGAGAGGAUUCCAUGGAGAGGUGGGAUCGAAAUGUUUCUCAGAGGAUUCAUCUUUCCCAAAAGAACCAUAACUCUCUCUUGUCUCUAUUAACUCUUGAAAGCUUUCAGGCUUGAAAGACUUUGCUCCCAGUUCAUGUUUAUCAACCCCAGCCUCCAUUGGCGUCUUCACUUGGGCCUUCUGGUUUGGCUGAAACAGAGGCAUGAAAGGUGCACAAGGUGAUUGGUUCUGAGGAUGAACAACAGAAGGAGGAGAAGAGACAGAAUCUUCUUGAACCUGUUUGGUUGAAGAAGAGUGGGAAGAGGUGAACUUGGGAGCUCUUUUAGCGUCUUCUUGGACUAAGUAACGGCUAACUGUUCUUUGCCACACUGCUCUUGCUUCUCCUGCUGCCAUCAUUUCACACCAUAGCUCUGAUAUUAUAAGACAAAAAAAAAGACAAUCAAUUCAAGAUCAAUGCAACUAUUUGAUUCCCAUUUAGAGAAGAAAAUGAAUCAUUUCAAAGUUGGAAUCUUUACCAGAUCCAUCACCAAAAAGCUUUACAGAAAAAAUAAAAGAAUCUGAUGUUUUGCUUUAAAGGAAGUUUGUCCUAAUCUUCUAACAAAACAGAUGCAGAUUCUUGUCAUAUAUUAUUAUGCAAACUAUUUUUUUUAUUCACUUACCAACCAAAUAAUCCUUCUUUGCAAUUUAGAAUCAAAUCCAGAGAAAAAAACAUUAAAUUCAAUGAUGAUUUAAGUUGUAGGAACCAUCCUGAACAACUAAAAACUGGUUUUUUUUUAGGGAAACAGCAAUAGUUUGCAGAAAUUGAAAGAAUUUUACCAAAAAAAAAAAAUUAAAAGAAAGAAAAAAAAACUGGAAAGAGUGUGAAUGAAUUGAGAAGUCACUCUCGUGAAGACAUCACAUAAAACGAAGAUAGGAGUUUUGUUUUUUUUUCUCGCUUCUUUAUCAAUUGUCAGAAAUGGUUUUUGUUUGCUUCAGAUUAAGAGCUUUUUGAAUCUUUGCAGUUUUCGUUUUCUUUCUGUGCUUUAGCACGCAAACUUCCGCUAAACGGCGCUGUUUUUAGGACCCAUAGUUUCCUAUCGGUGUGUUUGGGUCCACAGAUUAGAUAUUAGUACACGUGGCGUUAAAUAACAAGAUCAAGUGGGCUUCUCUUUUUUUUUUCUUUUACUAGGGGUGUAGCUCGGAGUCGUUAUCUAAAUCAGUGAAAGUGAUGUCGUGUUUGCGAAGUUUGUGUUUUGUUGUUGUCAUUGAUUCUUCAAGAUUUGUAUUGUAAUAGGGUUAAGAUAGGGUGAUGAACUGCGCUACUAUUUUUUUGUGGUUGGUGGGUGUAUACGCAUGAUAGUUUAUAUUGUUGGGUUUAUUUGAUUUUGUAUUUGUUUACAAAUAAUGUUCAUUCUCCCAAAUUUGUAGAUAUUUGUGUUAUUUUUUUUGUAAUUUGUAAUUGGCUGUAACUUGUGUAAAAAUUGGUGUAAGUGGUUGUUGUGCCUUAAGAAAUUUUUUUUUAUAAAAAGAUGACAUUGUACGGUUCGGAUCGACGUUGGGUAUGUAAGCCCAAUUCAUAAAAAAACAUAAGUCAACAUUUGAUGGUGAUAUUGCGUCCUUUGUGUGGCUUGGAAGCGAUUUCUGAAUUUCCUGAUAUGCAUGUGUUUGAUUGUAUUAUUUGUUGGAGUAAUAUAUUAAGUUCGGAUCUAUCUGUAUUUGUUUUUAUAAUCAGCUGUGAAUAUGUAAUGCAUUUUUGAUAGUCCAUUUUGUAUUGAUAAAAACUAUUUUCUUUUUCUUGCAAAAUUAACUUUAGACAUAUAAUGUAUGUUUACAUGGGAAUUUCUCUGAUCUUUGAUUUACAACAUCUGAUUGGUACAAUUAUAAAAAUAGCCAUAGAGCUCGAGCAUGAUUCACCAUUUUCUCCUAUUUUGAUGUUCAAUUGUUUUCAUCUCUUCAUUUUUUUAAGUGACAAAGCCAUCAAACAAAAAUAGCAAGCAAUACUUUCUUAUAUAGGUGAGAACUGAGAAGGGAAGGACAAUCAGGGAACAUCUCUUGUCCAUAAGAGAUUCAGAUUCCCUCAAGGCCUCAAGACAGUGUUGAGCUUUACGCGAGAAGGUUGUCAACAGAGAUCUCUGUGCCAUUGCCCAGGCGGAGUCUCUACGUUACAAGAUCCUCGGUGGUCACCGUUUGCAGGUAUAGUUUUUAAUGCUUACUGCGAAAUAUUAUUCAUCAACUGAUACUUUAUUUUGUUCACAUACUAGAAGAGAGUGUGAUUAGUUUAGUUAUCAAGCCAUUUCCUUCAUAGGGACAGUGGCAGUUUCUCUAAAGUUGUUGUGUAGUUGUCAUUUCUCUUGCUGAUUUUGGAAUAAUAUUGUAUAUGGCUUGCUAUAAUGUCUUCAGAUUCGUCAUGAAGAGUGGAGCUAAGGGAUGUGAGGUCAUUGUAUGUGGAAAGCUUCGUGCAGCACGUGCCAAAUCCAUGAAUUUCAAAUCCUUUGAAAGCUUCAACCAGAACUUGACCAUCUACUUAUAAUUGUUUUCUCUCACAACUCAAGUUAAAAAAUAAAAAAUAAAAAAACAUUCAUGAAAGUCCACAAUUAAUAAUUAUUGAAUCACAUUUAAUAUUUUGGAAAAAAUUGAACAUAAACAACAAAAUAAAUCCUAAUAAAUUUGCUAGAAGUACCCCAAAACAAUUUGAAUGGUAUAAAUUGCAUAUGUAAAAUUAUUGUAUCUAAUAAAAUAUCUACAAUUUAGUCAGCUUCUUUUUCAAUGAGUAAAUAUAUACGACAUUUUUUCUUUGGACAAAAUAGAUACAACAUUGUAAAUCAAAACCUAUAUAUUAUUGACAUCUUAAAAAAUAUACACCGUACAUUAGCACAUACAGGAAAACGAAUGGGGUUAACAUGUUAAAACCAUUUUAAAACUUAGAAAUAUACAUAUUUAAAACAU